Molecule: ribosomal RNA, 403 nt
Filed under: uncultured Strombidiidae
Lineage: Eukaryota; Ciliophora; Spirotrichea; Strombidiidae
Description: partial small subunit ribosomal RNA
Rfam family: Eukaryotic small subunit ribosomal RNA
Source: RNAcentral
GCUUGUCUCAAAGAUUAAGCCAUGCAUGUCUAAGUAUAAACGAAUUUAUACUGUGAAACUGCGAAUGGCUCAUUACAUCAGUUAUAGUUUAUUUGAUGGUCCUUGCUACUUGGAUAACCGUAGUAAUUCUAGAGCUAAUACAUGCUGGCGUGCCCGACUUUUGCGGAAGGGCGGUAUUUAUUAGAUAACAAGCCAAUAUUCCUCCGGGUCUAUUGUGGUGAUUCAUAAUAACUGAUCGAAUCGCAAGGCCUUUGGCCGCGAUAAGUCAUUCAAGUUUCUGCCCCAUCAGCUUUCGAUGGUAGUGUAUUGGACUACCAUGGCGUUCACGGGUAACGGAGAAUUAGGGUUCGAUUCCGGAGAGGGAGCCUGAGAAACGGCUACCACAUCUAAGGAAGGCAGCAGG